GAAAUGCGAUAAGUAGUGUGAAUUGCAGAAUUCAGUGAAUCAUCGAAUCUUUGAACGCACAUUGCGACCCUUGGUAUUCCAUGGGGCAUGCCUGUUCGAGCGUCAUUUGUACCCUCAAGCUUUGCUUGGUGUUGGGCGUCUUGUCCUCUUCUGGAGGACUCGCCUCAUCACAAUUGGCAGCUCAGUCCGCAUCGAUGAAGAACGCAGCACAAGUCGCACUUCUUUCCAUGAAUGUUGGCAUCCAUCAAGACCAUUUUUUCACUCUUGACCUCGGAUCAGGUAGGACUACCCGCUGAACUUAA
This 302-nucleotide unclassified non-coding RNA is filed under the name uncultured Pleosporales. RNAcentral's name for it is "sequence contains ITS1". The stretch from base 1 to 105 matches the Rfam family "5.8S ribosomal RNA", at positions 50 to 154 of the family's 154-position model. The record is from RNAcentral. Lineage: Eukaryota; Fungi; Ascomycota; Dothideomycetes; Pleosporales.